Long non-coding RNA from Lolium rigidum, 322 nucleotides. RefSeq lists it as uncharacterized. The transcript is spliced from 2 exons. Lineage: Eukaryota; Viridiplantae; Streptophyta; Magnoliopsida; Poales; Poaceae. The record is from RefSeq and is a predicted model, not a curated record.
CCACAUCACUACCUGACAAGGCCAUGGCCCAGCAGACCACCCAUCCCCUUUCUCCUUCACCUCCGGCACCAUCGCUCCCUGCGGACAACAACGAUUUGGCGUGUUUGCUUCGCAGAGAUGUUUCUUAGACUGGAAUCAUGUUCCCUUUGUGCUGGCCAAUUGACGAUGAUUAAUUUCCAAUUGAUUUUCUCUUCUUUCUAUCAUCUUCAGACUUUUCAUUCUCUCAAUUGGAAACUGUGACCAUCCCGUGUUUUGUAUGAAUGGAUGCAAAGAUGUGAUCUUUAUACUAAUAACGUCAAUAAAUAGAGUAGUAUUCAAUCAA